RNAcentral lists this microRNA precursor (62 nucleotides) under Capitella teleta. Lineage: Eukaryota; Metazoa; Annelida; Polychaeta; Capitellidae. The record is from RNAcentral.
AUGGCUGUGGAUCAAGUCCAUGUUAAGAUUUCGAAUUGUCAUGACUAGAUCCACACUCAUCC